AGAUUGAACGCUGGCGGCAUGCUUUACACAUGCAAGUCGAACGGUAACGCGGGGGCAACCCUGGCGACGAGUGGCGAACGGGUGAGUAAUACAUCGGAACAUGUCCUGGAGUGGGGGAUAGCUCGGCGAAAGCCGGAUUAAUACCGCAUACGCUCUGAGGAGGAAAGCGGGGGACUCGUAAGGGCCUCGCGCUGCAGGAGUGGCCGAUGUCGGAUUAGCUAGUGGUGAGGUAAAGGCUCACCUUAAGGCGACGAUCCGUAGCUGGUCUGAGAGGAUGAUCAGCCACACUGGGACUGAGACACGGCCCAGACUCCGUACGGGAGGCAGCAGUGGGGAAUUUUGGACAAUGGGGGCAACCCUGAUCCAGCCAUGCCGCGUGAGUGAAGAAGGCCUGGUGUAAGCGUCGUUCGGUACGGACGAAGUAGGUUACGGUAGAAGUACCUGUGUACUGUAGUACGACGGUACCGUAACGAAG
This 475-nucleotide ribosomal RNA is filed under the name uncultured soil bacterium. RNAcentral describes it as "bacterial SSU rRNA". It matches the Rfam family "Bacterial small subunit ribosomal RNA", at positions 26 to 487 of the family's 1533-position model. The record is from RNAcentral.